UAAAGAAUUUCGGUUAUCGAUGGGGAUGCGUUCCAUUAGUUAGUUGGCGGGGUAACGGCCCACCAAGACGACGAUGGAUAGGGGUUCUGAGAGGAAGGUCCCCCACAUUGGAACUGAGACACGGUCCAAACUCCUACGGGAGGCAGCAGUGAGGAAUAUUGGUCAAUGGACGAGAGUCUGAACCAGCCAAGUAGCGUGAAGGAUGACUGCCCUAUGGGUUGUAAACUUCUUUUAUAUGGGAAUAAAACAGGGUAUGCAUACCCUCUUGUAUGUACCAUAUGAAUAAGGAUCGGCUAACUCCGUGCCAGCAGCCGCGGUAAUACGGAGGAUCCGAGCGUUAUCCGGAUUUAUUGGGUUUAAAGGGAGCGUAGGUGGAUUGUUAAGUCAGUUGUGAAAGUUUGCGGCUCAACCGUAAAAUUGCAGUUGAAACUGGCAGUCUUGAGUACAGUAGAGGUGGGCGGAAUUCGUGGUGUAGCGGUGAAAUGCUUAGAUAUCACGAAGAACUCCGAUUGCGAAGGCAGCUCACUGGACUGCAACUGACACUGAUGCUCGAAAGUGUGGGUAUCAAACAGGAUUAGAUACCCUGGUAGUCCACACAGUAAACGAUGAAUACUCGCUGUUUGCGAUAUAC
This 631-nucleotide ribosomal RNA is filed under the name uncultured bacterium. RNAcentral's name for it is "bacterial SSU rRNA". It matches the Rfam family "Bacterial small subunit ribosomal RNA", at positions 202 to 834 of the family's 1533-position model. The record is from RNAcentral.